AAGUCGGAGUCGCUAGUAAUCGCAGAUCAGCAACGCUGCGGUGAAUACGUUCCCGGGCCUUGUACACACCGCCCGUCAAGUCACGAAAGUCGGUAACACCCGAAGCCGGUGGCCUAACCCUUGUGGGGGGAGCCGUCGAAGGUGGGACCAGCGAUUGGGACUAAGUCGUAACAAGGUAGCCGUACCGGAAGGUGCGGCUGGAUCACCUCCUUUCUAAGGAG
This 221-nucleotide ribosomal RNA is filed under the name Micrococcus luteus. RNAcentral describes it as "partial 16S ribosomal RNA". It matches the Rfam family "Bacterial small subunit ribosomal RNA", at positions 1323 to 1533 of the family's 1533-position model. The record is from RNAcentral. Lineage: Bacteria; Bacillati; Actinomycetota; Actinomycetes; Micrococcales; Micrococcaceae.